AUGUUUCGCUCGUCUUCUCUUGUUUGUUUUUAUUUAUUGGUAUUUUUAUAUUGCUUUGCUCUUCCAUUUUUUUUGUAUAGGGUGUUUGAGUUGAUCGAAGUUGUUUUUGUUUCUCUUUAUUUGUGUUGUGCUCUAUACAAAUUGAAAGAUAACUUGUCCAUCGAGACUACUGGAGUGACUACAAUUGAUAAGAGGAACCAGAAAAAGAGAGCAGUGAAAGUCUUAUCUCCUGAGAAGAAAGUUUCUAAGUUAGAACUUGAUGAAAAAGUAAAGGAAUUCUAUAGCAAGUACGUGAGAAACAUUUUCUUCAAGGCUAAAGAUCCGUGA
This 327-nucleotide ribosomal RNA is filed under the name Triticum aestivum (bread wheat). Its description in RNAcentral is "partial small subunit ribosomal RNA". The record is from RNAcentral. Lineage: Eukaryota; Viridiplantae; Streptophyta; Magnoliopsida; Poales; Poaceae.